UGAGUGCGAGCUGCUACGGCAGCGAAGUUGGUGACGUCAUGCUUCCAAGAAAAGCCCUACACCCGUUAAGGCAUCAUGGCCUGUACCCGAAACCGACACAGGUGGGGUGGUAGAGAAUACCGAGGGGCGCGAGGUAACUCUCUCUAAGGAACUCGGCAAAAUGGCCCCGUAACUUCGGGAGAAGGGGUGCCACCGCAAGGUGGUCGCAGUGAAGAGGCCCAGGCGACUGUUUACCAAAAACACAGGUCUCCGCUAAGUCGCAAGACGAUGUAUGGGGGCUGACGCCUGCCCAGUGCCGGAAGGUUAAGGAAGCUGGUCAGCGCAAGCGAAGCUGGCGACUGAAGCCCCGGUGAACGGCGGCCGUAACUAUAACGGUCCUAAGGUAGCGAGAUUCCUUGUCGGGUAAGUUCCGACCCGCACGAAAGGCGUAACGAUCUGGGCGCUGUCUCGGAGAGAGGCUCGGCGAAAUAGAAUUGUCUGUGAAGAUGCGGACUACGUGCACCCGGACAGAAAGACCCUAUGAAGCUUUACUGUAGCUUGGUAUUGUGCCCGGGCUCGCAAUGCGCAGGAUAGGUGGGAGGCUUUGAUCAUCGGCUUGCGGGUCGAUGUGAGCCAACGGUGAGAUACCACUCUUUGCGAGCUAGGGUUCUAACGGCCACCCGUCAUCCGGGGGCCGGACAGUACCUGGUGGGCAGUUUGACUGGGGCGGUCGCCUCCUAAAAGGUAACGGAGGCGCGCAAAGGUUUGCUCAGGCUGGUUGGAAAUCAGCCGACGAGUGUAAAAGCAGAAGCAAGCUUGACUGUGAGACCAACUAGUCGAACAGGGAGGAAACUCGGCUUUAGUGAUCCGACGGUUCUGAGUGGAAGGGCCGUCGCUCAACGGAUAAAAGUUACUCUAGGGAUAACAGGCUGAUCUCCCCCAAGAGUUCACAUCGACGGGGAGGUUUGGCACCUCGAUGUCGGCUCAUCGCAACCUGGGGCUGAAGUCGGUCCCAAGGGUUGGGCUGUUCGCCCAUUAAAGCGGUACGCGAGCUGGGUUCAGAACGUCGUGAGACAGUUCGAUCCAUAUCCGGUGCACGCGCAGGAAUAUUGAGAGGAUUUCUCCCUAGUACGAGAGGACCGGGAGGAACGCACCUCUGGUGUACCAGUUAUCGUGCCAACGGUAAACGCUGGGUAGCCAUGUGCGGAGUGGAUAACCGCUGAAAGCAUCUAAGUGGGAAGCCCACCUCAAGAUGAGUAUUCCCAUGGCGUAAGCCAGUAAGGUCACGGGAAGAACACCCGUUGAUAGGCUCUAUGUGGAUGCGCAGUAAUGCGUGAAGCAGAGGAGUACUAAUAGACCGAGGGCUUGACC
This 1350-nucleotide ribosomal RNA is filed under the name metagenome. Its description in RNAcentral is "bacterial LSU rRNA". It matches the Rfam family "Bacterial large subunit ribosomal RNA", at positions 1564 to 2925 of the family's 2925-position model. The record is from RNAcentral.